CGCCGCGAAGCCGGUGCAGAGCUGCAGGCGAAGUUCGCAACGAACUCAAACUCCAUGGAGAUUCCGGGCUCGGAAGGCCCGCGGUCGGGAAUUUCCUAAGGGGACUGCCUGACUGAAUUUCCCUCAGGGUGUAGAAACCAGACUAUGGUUUGAAAAUCCAGGGUUCUAGAUCGUGUGGGACAUGCAACAGAUCACUGCCUUCUAUGGGCCUCGGUUUCCCCAUCUGUCAGCCGAGGUCUUCACACUGGAGUGGUGGAGCGGAAAAGCCUCGAACUGGGGGCAAAAGCAAGGAACUUGACUAAGGACACCCACCCUUGGAACGCAGCCACCAUGUUGUGAGGAAGCCCAAGCCACAUGGGAGAGGUGACAUGAAGUGGUCUGGCCGAUAUCUCCAGCUGGGCUCUCAGGCAACAGCCUGCCUCAACCACCAGCUAGGUGGUGAACUGAGACAAUUCCGGCCCCCAGCCUUUGAGUCUUUCAGCCAACGUUCCAGAUAAGGAGCAGAGACAAGCCAACCCCACCGUACCCUGUCUGAAUCUCUCUCCCACAGAAAUUGGGAGAUAAGAAGUGAUCAUUGUUGUUUUUAAGCCGAUUAGCCCGUUAAAUACAAAGAAAACAUUGCAGUGAAACUGGACAGGAGGACCAUUGUAUCGGUAAGCAGUACUGACUCAUGGCACACGACAUCUGGGGUGACCAGGAUGAAGACAAGCUUCAAGCUGAAGGUUGAGCAGCAUCUUCUUAAAACGCAGAAGACAUCCUUGAGGAACCCUAAGUAUUUAGCUGGAAUCUUGUGCUGGUGGUCAAUUGUCUCCAUGUGUGUGCUUGGGAGAAUAAAAGGAAAUGAACUGGUUUUCUUUCAACACUGUCCUCACUCACCUGGCACCUGAGAAAGAAAGAGGGAGAGAGGAACAGGAGGGGAAAAGGAGAAGCUUUCUGAAUUUGAGAAACAAAAUUUCAGCUGCCCAGAGACUGUCUAGAGGGGUGUCCGCUUCUCCCGCCCUUCCUUCUCUCCCCUCACCACCUCCCCGGAGGCAUCUGGGACCUCACUCUCACCACUUACCUCCUCCCCUCUCUGCUACAAGCGAGUCCAGAUUUUUAGUAAUCUGUUGACCAUGUUGAAGUUUAUCUGAGCCCUGUGCUCCCAGAGAGCCGGGGAGCUGGGACAGUGGAGAAACUGCAAAGGACAACCCUGCCCUCACGUAUUCAGCUUAUUCCCAUCCCACUCUUCAGAUGAGACCCACCCCACUACAGAUGAGAUCCAUUCCAGCCUUCAGAUGAGACCUGCUGUCCACUCUCCUCCCCACUCUCUUGCCUCUGUAAAACCCCUCCUGCCUUUUCUCGGAGAUAUUCUGCAUUAAUGAAUGACCUCCCUCUUGCUAGAGCCUGAAUAAGAUCAUCUCUUUAAUUAUCCAGUGUAUUUCUUUCACACUGUGCUGCCCAUCCUGGGAGUCUGAAAUAGAACCAUAAGCACAUUUGGAGUUAGGAAGGGGAAUAACCCCAGCUGGUCUUGGGAAAGAUGUGAACAGCACCCAGUUAAUGGACUGGAGGUAAGGGUUCCUUGAAGCAUGCAUCCUCCUUCUGGCCAUGUUUUUCACUUCAAAACCUCAGAAGCAGUUGGCUUAAGAGGGAGUUUAUAGUAUGCCUAUGAAGCAAAACAUAAAUGCACACUGUGAGUGUGUGGGGGUGGCAGCGCAGGAGAGGAGGGGUGCCGGAGACCCUCUUGGUGAGGGGCAGAUGCAAUUUUGUUCCCUUCACAAAGACUCCUGUUUGCUUGCUGACGCGCUGAACGCCAGACCACUUCCCAUUCAGUACUGGUUCUCUUCAAGUGUUGCUACGGCCAGGGCAGUUGUGUUUUGUACAGAUUUGCCAUUUGUCAGAGGUUGUUCCCAGAGGCCUGCGAGACAAGGACUUUUGUUGGGGGUCCGCUGGAGGAAGUUGGCUUUUCAAAAUCAGGAACCUUUUUGGCUUGUUAAAUGGAAAGAGGCGAUGGCCUCUUUGGCCCUAGUGUGGGAGACCUGGGGAAGCCAGGUCUUAAAGUGCUCACUUAAAAAUGCUGUUUUAAAAAAUAUGCAGUGAAAUGCUAAUAGCCAAUAGUUUAAUUAAAGAAAGACAGCACCUAUAGUCUCAACAUCCCAACAUAAUAUAAUAGGUGUUUACUGUUUUCAUUUUAUAUAUCAGAUUCCAAUCUCAUAUUUUUACAGUUAGUGGCAAUACCGAUUUAUGUUUUUACACUCUUAACAUGAUGUCAUAUAAUCAUUUUAUUGUGCAAUACUAUAUGAUAUAAUUCCAUUGCCUUAAUGGAGCAUAUGUUAUCAUAUUAGACAUUCAGCUUGUCUUUUUUCUUUUUCUUUGCUAGUGUUGAUAAUGCUGAAAUUAACAUUGUGAGAUAUAACUUUCUGUUUUUGAAGAAUGAAACAUAAAUAACCGAGAGCUAAUAAAGGGAUUAAUUAAGCUCCUACAACAGCAGUUCUCAAAUCUUUUGUUCUCAGGGCCCCUUUACACUCGUAAAAGCAAUUGAGAACCCCAAACAGCUUUUGUUUCUAUAUUCUGAUAUUUCCCAUACUUUAUUAUAAAUUAUAACUGAGAAAAAUCUAAAUACUUAAUAUAUUUUAAAAUAACAAUAAGACUCCAUUGCAUGUUAACAUAAAUUACAUAAUUUUUAUGAACAAUAUAUUUUUCCAAAUUAAAGAAAUUUAUAAAAAUGACAUUGUUUUACAUUUUUGCAAAUCUCUUUAAUUUUAGUUUAUACAUUCUCAUAUCCACUUCUGCAUUGAAUGUCUUGUGAUAUAUUGUUUUGAUGGAAGUAUAUGAAGAAAACCAUCCUCCCACCCUGAUUGUUUUAUCUACCGCCAGCAGCAAAAAUCCAUGAGGAUCUGUGAGGACAGUGUUGAAAGAAAACCAGUUCAUUUCCUUUUAUUCUCCCAAACACACACAAGGAGAAAAUUGGCCACCAGCACAAGAUUCCAGCUAAAUACUUAGGAUUCCUUAAGGAUGUCUUUUGAAGAGAAAAAAAAAAAAGUUUACAUGGUUGAAUAGCUACAGCCACGAUGGAAAGUUAUCAUUUUCCUUGGCGUUACUGCUAUUCUUACAAACAGCCCUUUUCCUAAAGGGUUGGGAAAGGGAAGGGGAACCCUUAGGGGUCCUUGGACCACACUUUGAGAAACACUGUCUUAUAACAUUUGCAGCACUCUACUAGGUAUUUCUCGGAUUUAUUCUGUACUCAGAGAUUAGAUGAUAGUGUAAUUCAGCGCUGAAUUUUUGAAAUUGAGGUCCCGAGGAGCAAGUCCCUUGGCUAAAGUCACCCAGCUGGUUGCAGUCACUUUAAUUUAUUCCAAACAAUUCAGAUGCCUCAUCUGUCCUUUUGUCAGUUGUUGCAUAAGGCUUGUGGGAGCACAGAGCUGCAUAAAGGAUCCCAGACUUCAAGUUGCUCACCAGCCAAGGGCUAGCCAAGCUCACAAAUAAACAAGACCAAAUCUAGGCAAACAUCCCACUCCAUUUGUGGAAGAGUUACUCUCUCUCUCUCUGUCAGUAUUACGUACACACAGAAAAGUGCACAAAUCAUAACACGGCUCUACGAAUUUUUCAGAAACUGAGCAUAUCCAUAUCAUAUCUCUUUUUAAGUCAAUUUUUGGAUGGCUUUUGUCAAGAGGCAGGGUGGCCCGGGAGAAUUUGUAAACCUGGGAUCUACUGAUCUCUUGGGCUCUCUCUUCUUCUGUUAAUGUAAGGUCUGGCUAAAAAAACCUCACCAAACUGUCGGCCCGUAACAUUCUGAGUCUCUAUGAGGGUACUUUGGAGGAUUGUUUUGUGGCAGGGCUGAUUGCGGAUCAUUUCUCAAUUUAAUUGGACUAGCGGGGUAAUAAAGCAGGAAGCCUGCCAUCUAGUGGUGAAAAUAAAUAUUGCUCUCUUCCUCAACUCUUGGGCUGAGCUUUCAGAACCAGUCCUUUUCUUCUCACCCCCACUUUCCUUAAUUACAUGAGUUUUAAUUGUGCCACAGUCACCAUACUUAACUGUCUUAGCUACAUUAUAAUGAGUGAAGGGAAUACACUUGCGGUUUGGCUGACCACAUGGGAGGGGAGGUCUCUUGCGUUCAUAGUUAAGUGCUCCAAAACUCUGCCUUCAGGCUCAGGCAUGCCCUCAGGGUGCACUUGCAGCAGACCAACAGGAAGCCGAAAUUAUAAGUAUCCGUAAGAUUCUGUCUGUGCCGCAAGGCUUCAGCUUCCAGGGAGGGACGCCAGCUGGAGUUCCUUCCUACAGCAUAUCUUUAAAAGUGGGACUGUCCGCCUGCCGAGGCAGGGGACAUGGGUUCAUGCCCCGGUCCGGGAGGAUGCCACAUGCCGCGGAGCGGCUGGGUCUGUGAGCCAUGGACGCUGAGCCUGCGCGUCCGGAGCCUGUGCUCCGCAACGGGAGAGGCCACAACAGUGAGAGGCCCGCGUACCGCAAAAAAAAAAAAAAAAAAAAAAAAAAAAGUGGGACUGUCGGAGCUCUCCCCCUGCCCAUCGACGUAGCAAAGAACAAAACUCUGGGCAGAGGACCUGGGCAUGGAAGAGGUCUGAGCUGGGGAGUAGCACUGAGAGCUGGGUUUCAGUGGAAGAAGCGGCCGGGUGCUGCAGGUGAGUGUGUGCAGUGACUGCGGAACAAACACACAUUCUGUAGGUUCUUGAGAGUUAUACCUCCUUCAUGUGUCCCUGCUCGGGGCCUUGUGGUGAAUCACAGAGGGAUGAAAUCUCAACAGAUAAUCCAUUCCUGGUUGGUAAAGAAACUGCACGGCAUGACCAAGGUUCGGCAGGGGAAACUGGAGUUGUGGUACCCAGCCUUGAGACUCGAAAGAAACCAGCCUAUAUAAUAUCAUGUGCCUGGCCCCAAUUUAUUUAUUUUUUGGCCACGCUGACUGGUUUGUGGGAUCUUAGUUCCCCCACCAGGGAUUGAACCCGGGCCACGGCAGUGAGAGCGCCAAGUCCUAACCAGUGGACUGCCGGGGAAUUCCCAAAAACUA
Orcinus orca (killer whale) is the source of this 4993-nucleotide long non-coding RNA. RefSeq lists it as uncharacterized. The transcript has 5 exons. The record is from RefSeq and is a predicted model, not a curated record. Lineage: Eukaryota; Metazoa; Chordata; Mammalia; Artiodactyla; Delphinidae.